AGCUUGUGAGCUUUUGCUCGAAUUGAUGAACCGGGGAGCUGCUUUGGAGGUGGCUCCUUGCAAUGCAUUAUUGACAGGGUUGGGGAGGGAUAGUUAUCGUGAUAGAAUGAAUGAUGUUAUGGCAAAGAUGAAGGAAAUGGAUAUUGAGCCAAAUGUUAUCACCUAUGGGAUUCUUAUUAAUCACCUUUGCAAGUUUAGGAGAGUUGAUGAGGCGCUGGUGGUGUUUCAAAGGAUGAAUGAAAGUCAAGAGGGG
RNAcentral lists this unclassified non-coding RNA (253 nucleotides) under Hevea brasiliensis (rubber tree). Lineage: Eukaryota; Viridiplantae; Streptophyta; Magnoliopsida; Malpighiales; Euphorbiaceae. The record is from RNAcentral.